Molecule: ribosomal RNA, 406 nt
Filed under: uncultured bacterium
Lineage: Bacteria
Description: partial 16S ribosomal RNA
Rfam family: Bacterial small subunit ribosomal RNA
Source: RNAcentral
AUUGAACGCUGGCGGCAGGCCUAACACAUGCAAGUCGCACGAGUGGCGGACGGGUGUGUAAUGUCUGGGAAACUGCCUGAUGGAGGGGGAUAACUACUGGAAACGGUAGCUAAUACCGCAUACCAUCAGAUGGGCCCAGAUGGGAUUAGCUGGUUGGUGGGGCAACGGCUCACCAAGGCGACGAUCCCUAGCGGGUCUGAGAGGAUGACCAGCGACACUGGAACUAAGACAAGGUCCAUACUCCUACGUGGGGCAGCAGUGGGGAAUGUUGCGCAAUUGGCGCAAGCCUGAUGCAGCCAUGCCGCGUGUAUGAAGCAGGCCUUCGAGUUGUAAAGGACUUUCAGCGGGGAGGCGUUACCCGCAGAAGAAGCACCGGCUAACUCCGUGCCAGCAGCCGCGGUAAUAC